RNAcentral lists this Y RNA (102 nucleotides) under Prolemur simus (greater bamboo lemur). RNAcentral's name for it is "Y RNA (ENSPSMG00000020727.1)". It matches the Rfam family "Y RNA". From Rfam's summary of the family: Y RNAs are components of the Ro ribonucleoprotein particle (Ro RNP), in association with Ro60 and La proteins. The Y RNAs and Ro60 and La proteins are well conserved, but the function of the Ro RNP is not known. Lineage: Eukaryota; Metazoa; Chordata; Mammalia; Primates; Lemuridae. The record is from Rfam by way of RNAcentral.
GGCUGGUCCGAGUGCAGCGGUGCUUACAACUAAUUGAUCACAACCAGUUAUAGAUUCCUUUUUUCCUUCUCCACUCCCACUGCUUCACUUGACUAGCCUUAA